Molecule: ribosomal RNA, 414 nt
Filed under: uncultured bacterium
Lineage: Bacteria
Description: bacterial SSU rRNA
Rfam family: Bacterial small subunit ribosomal RNA
Source: RNAcentral
AGUGGCGAACGGGUGAGUAACACGUGAGCAACCUGCCUUAUACACAGGGAUAACAGUUGGAAACGACUGCUAAUACCGGAUAAGGCCACACUAUGGCAUCAUAGAGGGGUCAAAGCGAAUAAGCGGUAUAAGAUGGGCUCGCGUCCAAUUAGCUAGUUGGUGAGGUAACGGCCCACCAAAGGCGACGAUUGGUAGCCGACUUGAGAGAGUGAUCGGCCACACUGGAACUGAGACACGGUCCAGACUCCUACGGGAGGCAGCGAGUGGGGAAUAUUGGGCAAGUCGGAGGAAACUCUUACCCAGCCAAUGCCGCGUGAGUGAUGAAGGUCUUUGGAUUGUAAAGCUCUUUGAUUGGGGACGAAUAAAUGACGGUACCCAAAGAACAAGCCCGGCUAACUAUGUGCCAGCAGCCGC